AUUGAACGCUGGCGGCAUGCCUUACACAUGCAAGUCGAACGGCAGCACGGGUGCUUGCACCUGGUGGCGAGUGGCGAACGGGUGAGUAAUACAUCGGAACAUGUCCUGUAGUGGGGGAUAGCCCGGCGAAAGCCGGAUUAAUACCGCAUACGAUCUACGGAUGAAAGCGGGGGACCUUCUGGCCUCGCGCUAUAGGGUUGGCCGAUGGCUGAUUAGCUCGUUGGUGGGGUAAAGGCCUACCAAGGCGACGAUCAGUAGCUGGUCUGAGAGGACGACCAGCCACACUGGGACUGAGACACGGCCCAGACUCCUACGGGAGGCAGCAGUGGGGAAUUUUGGACAAUGGGCGAAAGCCUGAUCCAGCAAUGCCGCGUGUGUGAAGAAGGCCUUCGGGUUGUAAAGCACUGUUGUCCGGGAAGAAAUACUUGGCACUAAUACGGUCGGGGGAUGACGGUACCGGAAGAAUAAGCACCGGCUAACUACGUG
RNAcentral lists this ribosomal RNA (486 nucleotides) under uncultured bacterium. Its description in RNAcentral is "partial 16S ribosomal RNA". It matches the Rfam family "Bacterial small subunit ribosomal RNA", at positions 30 to 507 of the family's 1533-position model. The record is from RNAcentral.